Molecule: long non-coding RNA, 515 nt
Filed under: Citrus maxima (pomelo)
Lineage: Eukaryota; Viridiplantae; Streptophyta; Magnoliopsida; Sapindales; Rutaceae
Description: long non-coding RNA (CMAX_LNC000001)
Source: RNAcentral
GUUGAUAUUCUUUUUUGGGAUUUAUGUGAAUGUGAAGUGAAGAGAGAGAGAGAGAGGAUUUAGGAUCAAAGGACAGAGAAAGAGAGACGGAUUCUACAAAGACUAACAUCAUCUUCACAAUAUUUUUCUGUUUUGGUAUUAUGAUGCAAUAAAUCAUCAAGCUUAUGUAUUUGAAACAUACAUGGGGAACUUCCGGGUGACUGGAAUCCUCUGGGGUCAGCUGAACAGGCUAACAAUCGGCAGAAGAUGCUGGGCAAGGCUGCUGGCCUGAAGAGUGAGGCUGAUCCGUAACAUCAACUGCAGAAGAAUGUGAGGUUCGAGUUGAUGAACAGGAGAAGGGAAUAAUUUAACGGGAUGAAGGAUAGCAGAAUAAGAAAGAAAAACAGAACUAAAGAAAGGAUUUGCCAAUCCUUUCCUUGCAGGUGAAGAGUACUCAGGAGGCUCAAAGACCGAUAGAGUUGAACAGACAGCUGACAGCUCGCGAUUGAGAGACUUUCCAGUUGACAGAGGAGCGA